This 446-nucleotide non-coding RNA is filed under the name Pongo abelii (Sumatran orangutan). The record is from RNAcentral. Lineage: Eukaryota; Metazoa; Chordata; Mammalia; Primates; Hominidae.
AUUCACUUAGCUGCUUUGAUAAAUUCUGCUGCCAUCCUGGGAGCUGCACCACGGAGGGGCCCACAUGGCAAGGAACUGAGGGCUACCUUUACUGUAGCCUGUGAGAGACCAUGGGCCAAGGGAUCCAGGACAUCUUCUACAGUAGUGGUAAUCCUCCAUAUUUCAGCUGACACCUCUAUGUGAGCUGUGGUCAUCUUAGUGUCGAGAGAGUCCCCUCUGCCCACAUGAAAACCAGUCAGAGACGAACUGUUUUGAAUCAAGUCUCCUGCUCUUGUAGACUUUUAGUUUGACCUUGGAAUGUGCAAGCAGACCUCUGCAUUUAAUCCAAGAUUGAGGCAAGUUUUCUCUCCGCCUAGGUUUAUCUUGUCUGUCUGUGAACAAAAGAGAGGAUAGCAAAGUACCUUGUUUGGAUUUGUCUAUAAAUGUGACCUUCCUAAACUGGCUAA